GAUAAAGUAAUCGUGAAGAAUUGACAAUGAUUUUGUUUAUUUUCAGCGAACGGCCGGACGGUAAAAAGUACCUCCGAAAGAAACAUAGGAGGUGGCAAGCGAGACGCGGGCGUGGCUAGGGCUUCGUCGGCGGAUUACAUCGCGCGUGGGAAAAAAGAUAACAGGCAGACACCGUAAACUUGUGGCAUCCUACACAGUAACUAUAAGUAGAACAGUACUGAAGACUGUUUAUCGUUUUGCUCAUCUAGUUAACGUUGUACGGUUACUUUAGGAAUACUUCUUGUUAUAUACUAUGUUAAGGAAUUACUUUUAAAUCAGCAGGUCCGAUUGUAUAAAUAUUAAUAACUUCGAUAAAUUAUUAACUUUUAAAUAUGAAACUGCAUAAAGAAAUAGUUGGUUCCUGUUAUAUCUUUUAAUUUUAAAAUAUUUAAUCAAUUAUUAUUUUAUCGGCAUAGAAUAUUGUAAUCUCUCUAGAAUAUCAAUUUUGUUAAACAAAUAUUUAUAUUUAUAGCUCAGUUUUGAACAAUUAAAUUUGUAGCGAGUGAUUGUAUCAUCUUGUAUAAGUUGAGUUUUUUUUAUAAUGCU
Molecule: long non-coding RNA, 585 nt
Organism: Cydia amplana
Lineage: Eukaryota; Metazoa; Arthropoda; Insecta; Lepidoptera; Tortricidae
Exons: 3
Source: RefSeq, a predicted model, not a curated record